Molecule: RNA transcript, 1134 nt
Organism: Myotis lucifugus (little brown bat)
Lineage: Eukaryota; Metazoa; Chordata; Mammalia; Chiroptera; Vespertilionidae
Gene: IL34
Gene name: interleukin 34
Exons: 6
Source: RefSeq, a predicted model, not a curated record
GUUGUACUGGCCUCCUUUCUGGCCCUUCCCAUCAGCCGGGAAGCCUGGAUCGUGGGCUGGGGGAAGCCGUAGCUGCUCCCACCUGGCUCCCACUGCCCCUGGCCGCUAGGCACCUGCUCUGGGCCCUGGAUCCUUUAAAACCGACAGCAAAACCCUAGAAGAUUGCAUCCCGGUGUGUGAACAGCCUUGCAGGGGAAAACAAAACCAAAAAAAUAGAUCCGAAUCACCAUAAAGCAAGUUACUUCUCUCCAUGUUCCCUUCUGAGCUCGCGGCAACACUGGUUUCCAUAGACAUCAUUUCGCUUAAAGUCACAGUUUCCAGACCCUAUCGGCGAUGUUAAAUGAGAACCUGCUGCGCUGAGCUACCGCACACCCCAUGCCAGCUCCGGCUCUAAGCUUUCUCUACAGAAACUCGAAUCCUGCCUCUGUCACAAGAACACACUUGGUUAGCCUGCUGGAAGGGAGUCAUCCCAGCUGAGGCACCCGAGACCAGCCAGCACUCUGCCAGCCUACCAGCGUGAGUGAGCCCAGGCUAGAUCAGCCUAGCCCAGCCCAGCCCAGCCCAGCCCAGAGCCAGAUUUCACACUGAGCAGCUGCAGACGGAGAAAUCAGAGAAAGCACAACCAGCCUCGGAUUCCGACGGGCCUGCCGGGCGCUCCGCCUGCUCCGGAGGGAAGCCCUGAGGCCGCUCUUUCGGGCCAGGUCUCCGCUGCCAUGGAACCCGCAGCCGCCACCCCCCGGCUGCCCUCCGCACUGCCGGGCAGAUAAGGGUGGCGCUGCCCCGGGGAGCACCUGCGACCCUGCCAGGCCAUCCUCCCUGGCCAGCCCUUCUUCCGCUUUGGGCCACCUGUGCUGACCUGAUGCCAUGUAGGCCCCCUCGGGCCUCUGGGGACAGACACACCACCGGGGACGCCGCCUCUGCAGCCUGGGGGACCCUGCGCACCACCAUGCCCCGGGGAUUCGCCUGGCUCCACUAUCUCGGCAUCCUCCUUGGCAUGGCUUUGGGGAACCAGGACCUGGAGGUGUGGCCCCUGACGCAGAGCAAGGAGUGCGCCCUCACCGGCAUCCUGCGGGACAGGCUGCAGUACGGGAACCGCCUUCAGUACAUGGUAACCCGGUGGCCCCCGCCGUGGCC